This 459-nucleotide ribosomal RNA is filed under the name Acinetobacter baumannii. RNAcentral describes it as "partial 23S ribosomal RNA". It matches the Rfam family "Bacterial large subunit ribosomal RNA", at positions 2472 to 2925 of the family's 2925-position model. The record is from RNAcentral. Lineage: Bacteria; Pseudomonadati; Pseudomonadota; Gammaproteobacteria; Moraxellales; Moraxellaceae.
GGAUAACAGGCUGAUACCGCCCAAGAGUUCAUAUCGACGGCGGUGUUUGGCACCUCGAUGUCGGCUCAUCUCAUCCUGGGGCUGAAGCAGGUCCCAAGGGUAUGGCUGUUCGCCAUUUAAAGAGGUACGCGAGCUGGGUUUAGAACGUCGUGAGACAGUUCGGUCCCUAUCUACCGUGGGCGCUGGAAAUUUGAGAGGAUCUGCUCCUAGUACGAGAGGACCAGAGUGGACGAACCUCUGGUGUACCGGUUGUGACGCCAGUCGCAUCGCCGGGUAGCUAUGUUCGGAAGGGAUAACCGCUGAAAGCAUCUAAGCGGGAAGCCUACCUCAAGAUAAGAUUUCCCUAGGACUUUAUGUCCUCUAAAGAGCCGUUCGAGACUAGGACGUUGAUAGGUUGGAUGUGGAAGCAUAGUGAUAUGUGAAGCUGACCAAUACUAAUUGCUCGUGAGGCUUGACUAU